UUGGGACCCGCAUGUAAGAGAACCGUUUGUUUGACCGUUUAUUUGACUGUUACCUUACAUGUAGGGCCCACAUGUCAGUAUUUCUGUAAGUUUUUUAGAAAAGCAAUCAGGUCCCUGUAACUUUUUAAAAAAGCAAUCGGGUCCCUGAAUGUUUUAUGGAAAAAGCAAUCGGGCCCUUGCUCCUCUGUGCGCGCUCUCCCGUGCUCAAGAUCGAGAGGAGCGCGCCCGUCACCGUGCCCGCCGGCCAGCAGCCGACGUAAAGAGCGCGCCGGCCAGAAGCCAUGGCGCCGCUGCGGAGAUCCCUCCCGUCGCCCGUCCGAUGCGCGCCGCCGCGGAGCUCCCUUCCAGCGUGCGUGGCGGCCGCGACCUCCUCCUGCCGACGAGCUCCCUCGCCGCACGGCCUAUCUCUCUCUCUCUCUCCCUUUCCUGGGCGUGGCGACCUGAGCCCGUGGCCAUGGAGCUCGGCUGGCGGCGGCCCUGGCCAUGGCGCAAGGAUGGCGGCGGCCCAUGCCCCUGGACGCGACGGGCCGAGUCCCUGCCCCCUGGCCAUGGCGAGCAGUUGGUGGCGGCCCGUGCUGCUGGGUGGCAGCUGGUCCUCCGCGCGGCGCUCCUUCCCGCGGUCGGCCAUGGUUUGCGUGCAGCGGGUGGUGGAGCUUUGGCCUUGGUCAGGAGAAGGAAGAGGAUAAAAGAUAAGAGGAAGAAGAGAGAACUUACAUGUGGGUCCCACAUGUAAGUUAACAGUCAAACAAACGGAUUAUUUAGGAGUGGGUCCAACCUGUCAUAAAACGGUUUAAGUCACUAGCAACGAGUUAUUAGGGUUUUUUGAAACAGCCAACCCCUGACUUAGUAGUUAUCAGCGAAAAAUUAAAAAUCGGUAGUUUUUUGAAACCGUAGCAUGUAAAGUAGUAGUUUUAUGCUAUUUACUCUAAAAAACCAGAGCCUUGAAUUCUUAACCUCAAAGGUUAAUGCUGGAGCAACAUAUGAUGAUCUUAAUGAGGCAGCGAUGACGCACUCUUCUCAGAGCUUCGCAUUCAACCAUGAAAUUUCUGGUAGAUCCAGAUUGUAUCAGGAAUACAACCAGACAGCAAAUUCAGAGAUUCAGAAAAGUGAGAGCUUCUAUAUUCUUCAGAGAUUGAGGUAUGCUUCUGUCAAACAAGUUCAGAUCCAGCAAUAGUCGUUCCAAUACCAUGCAAUUUCUAGUGGCAUCAGGUAUGCUACCUGACAAUUUGUUUCCUGAUAAGAGUUUUUUUUUUUUUGAAACGGAGGCAAAAGCUUUGCCUCAUCCAUUAAAUAAGAGAGAAUAGAGUUAGUUGCAAACAACCCGAGUAUACGGCAUGCGGAUUACUCGCGCAAUAACAAAGACCCUAGUUUCCUGAUAAGAGUCAGUUGAUUAAGGUAUCCCAAGCUACCAACUUCAGUAGGAAGAGGUCCGGAUAGUGUAUGAUAAGUCCAAGUAAAAGGAAAGUGAAAGAAGCUUUAAAAUCUCUAACUUACUUAGAUAUAUAGGAUUCGCUCACAGGUCAAGGGCAAACAGAGUCUUCAACUUCCCCAGGCUUGCUGGAAUCGGUCCCUCCAAGUUGCCAUAGUAUGCAUAAAGCCUACUACUAACCUGUCUAAGAUUUCCAGGUGAUGAAGAUAGGUAAGUAUUCGCCAACUCAGCGUCGCCACCCGUUGUCCAUGGCUACAUGCCAUGCCCUCCAGCUGCAGAAGCUAGUGCUACCGUUCCAGGAGAUGAGCAGGUCAGAGCCAUGGCUGCUGAGUCCCGCCCUGACCGCGAGCAGUGUGCCAGCCUCAUUGCUCUCCAGGAGGCCAUUAGUACAGUCAUGAUGGAAAGGGCGAAAGACAGCAAAAGCUUAUGUGUACCUGCUACCUACCAACAAAGAUUGCUGACAUGGCCUUCUUAUAGGCCUUCCCUGGUCAAAGCUGGCAUGUACUACAUUGACAGCUUGUGAGAAUCCCAGCUGCCUUUUGACAUCACUUUUCAAUGUAUUCACGCAUGACAUAUCCUUAUGGUUGUUAUUAUCUU
This is a long non-coding RNA of Triticum dicoccoides, 2026 nucleotides long. RefSeq lists it as uncharacterized. The record is from RefSeq and is a predicted model, not a curated record. NCBI's taxonomy places the organism in Eukaryota, Viridiplantae, Streptophyta, Magnoliopsida, Poales, Poaceae. The transcript has 2 exons.